AUGGGAGAACAGGACUCAGGCCUAAGGAAACCCAGUUUUCUGAAGUUGCUGGCUAGCAACAGCACUGGAACAUCCAUCCCAGCAGCAGGGGCCAAUGCAGAAGCCCCCAGAACUGCUGUCCUUCUUUGGGCAGAGGCUUCUGGAGGAAGGGACAAAGAGGUCUUUGCUGUCUCUACAGAGCCCGUGACUUCCAAGGAGCUCACCACUCACUCAGCCCUGCCUGCCUUCUCCAAAGGGCAGCCAAUCAUCCGCAUCAAUUUCGAUGACGUUGCCAAGGGCGCUCAAUGGCCUCCUGCCACCCCUGUCCACUUCCACAUGAAAGGAGAGAGACUGAAGAGAUGGAAAUCAGUCGGCCCGGCCAGCCUGGCUCAGGUGGUCAUGAAGGGCAGCCUAAGUCACUCAAGGCUCCCAGAGCUGCCUUUGAGGCAGAAAUACAGAGCAUCUUUGAGGACUCCUGCUCUGUCUGUGGGAAGGGUCACGAGGGUAAGGGGCGUUUUGAUCCGGGUGUAUUUCCACGGCUUUUCCUGCAUGGAACAGAGAGGCACAAAGUCAGGGCAUGCAAGUAGGAGCCCGGGAUCAGGAGAGGGCACGGGCCACGCUGUGGCCGCUCCCACUCCACGCCUGGUCCCGAGGGCAGAGGCCCACAGGUCCAGUUGGCCGCUGUGGCGUCCGCGUACCCCGGUCCACCACCGUUGUGCGCCCAGCAGCGGCGGCGGGAGCUAGAGGCUCACGGUGAGCCUGGGACUCAAGCCGGCGAGGCGCUGGCGGCCCGGCCCUGUAGCCGGGCGCCCCGGCUGAUCGCGCGGUUCGCCCCUCCCCGCGCGGCUCUCCCGCGCUCACUCCAGGGUCGACGUCAGGGCCGGAGUCGCUCCUGGGAUCCCGCGGCCACCCCCGCCCGCAAACGCCCGCCCGGCCCGACCUACUCACCGCGGCUCCGCGGGGCCCGCCCGGGGCCGCGCCUGCCCCCGCUCCCGGCGCGCAGGACACCCUCCCCAACGACCCCUAGGGCGCGCUCGGCCUCUCCCGCGAGCGGGGCACCCAGGCCCGGCCCCGCCAGCCCCAGGGGCGGCCCCUUCCAGAGGGCGGCCUCCCGGCCGAGUGCGCGAUCCUCGGCCGCCCCGCACGCCUUCCCCAGCUCGCGCUGCGUGGACUCGACUCGGAGUCUUCGGGCGCCGCGGAGAAAUGCCUGCCCCAGAAAGGGAGGGGGUGGGGAGAGACGGGAAGAGGAGCGAGCGGGAGCGGAGACUAAGGAGGGAGGAGGAAAAUAUGGAGAGCAGGAAAGGCGAGAAAGGGGGACAAGGCUGGCCAAACCCACCUGCCGGCUGCUUGCCCCAGGGCUGGCUUCCAGACCAAGGGCACGUAGAGGUCAGAGGCUCCCCAGAAGGCACGUCUGCCCUGAAAAACCUAAGGUGUAUCAAGGUGUCCGGGUGAAGAUCACAGUGAAGGAGCUGCUGCAGCAGAGAAGGGCACACCAGGCAGCCUCGGGGGGAACCCUGUCCGGAGGCAACAGUGUCCACCUUUCAGACCCAGUCCCACCAUCUUCUGCAGGACAGUAUUUUGAGCCUGAACCAAUUCCUUCCAUACCCAAUUAUUUCCAACCCCGAGAAUUUUCCAGUUGUGUUUCUCGUGAAGAAAAUCCAGGCUUCCUCGACCAGAUAUUUGAUUCCUACCUUCAGACAGAGACACACCUAGACCCUUCGCCCAAUUCCAUGCAAAGUACUCCGCACUAUUUCCCAGACAGCUUCCAGCCUGCCCCUUUCUGCUUUAACCAGAGCCUGACCCCAGGAUGGCCUUCGGAUUCCUCCACUCUCUCUGGUUCCUUAGACUACAGUUACUCUCCUGCUCAUCUACCUUCAUAUACUCCGGAGAAUUACAACUCUCCCCCUUCUCUGGACACCAGAAACUGUGGCUACCCCUCGGAAGACUACUGCUACCCUCACCUGCCCUCACACACCCAGUACAACUGCUUCUCGUCUGCCACCGCCUCUGUCUGCUGCUGUGCAUCCUGCGAGGCAGAACACUUGGACACCUUCAGAGCUUCAGAGUGUUUUUCUUACUCCAGCACAGACUAUGUGAACUUCACUCCCUCAGCAGCAGCAAGCAGUGAUUUCUGUAGGAGGGAAACAAACUGGGACAUCUGCUAUAGUUAACAGAAAUUACAUUAGUU
This is a non-coding RNA of Lipotes vexillifer (Yangtze River dolphin), 2167 nucleotides long. NCBI's taxonomy places the organism in Eukaryota, Metazoa, Chordata, Mammalia, Artiodactyla, Lipotidae. The record is from RefSeq and is a predicted model, not a curated record.